AACGAACGCUGGCGGCAGGCCUAAAACAUGCAAGUCGAACGCCCCGCAAGGGGAGUGGCGCACGGGUGAGUAACGCGUGGGAACGUGCCCUUCACUACGGGACAACGUCGGGAAACUGACGCUAAUACCGUAUAAUGACUCCGGUCCAAAGAUUUAUCGGUGGAGGAGCGGCCCGCGUCUGAUUAGCUAGUUGGUGAGGUAAAGGCUUACCAAGGCUACGAUCAGUAGCAGGUCUGAGAGAAUGAUCUGCCACACUGGGACUGAGACACGGCCCAGACUCCUACGGGAGGCAGCAGUUAGGAAUAUUGGACAAUGGGCGAAAGCCUGAUCCAGCCAUGCCGCGUGUGUGAUGAAGGCCCUAGGGUUGUAAAGCACUUUCGUUGGGGAUGAUAAUGACCGUACCCAAAGAAGAAGCACCGGCUAACUUCGUGCCAGCAGCCGCCGUAA
This 447-nucleotide ribosomal RNA is filed under the name uncultured bacterium. RNAcentral's name for it is "partial 16S ribosomal RNA". It matches the Rfam family "Bacterial small subunit ribosomal RNA", at positions 29 to 523 of the family's 1533-position model. The record is from RNAcentral.